UUCGCGUGUAGCAGUGAAAUGCGUAGAGAUCGGGAGGAAUACCAGUGGCGAAGGCGGCCUUCUGGACUGACACUGACACUGAGGUGCGAAAGCGUGGGUAGCAAACAGGAUUAGAUACCCUGGUAGUCCACGCCGUAAACGAUGUCGACCAGCCGUUGGGUGCCUAGCGCACUUUGUGGCGAAGUUAACGCGAUAAGUCGACCGCCUGGGGAGUACGGCCGCAAGGUUAAAACUCAAAUGAAUUGACGGGGGCCCGCACAAGCGGUGGAGCAUGUGGUUUAAUUCGAUGCAACGCGAAGAACCUUACCUACUCUUGACAUCCUGCGAACUGGUGAGAGAUCACUGGGUGCCUUCGGGAACGCAGAGACAGGUGCUGCAUGGCUGUCGUCAGCU
RNAcentral lists this ribosomal RNA (393 nucleotides) under uncultured Pseudomonadota bacterium. Its description in RNAcentral is "bacterial SSU rRNA". It matches the Rfam family "Bacterial small subunit ribosomal RNA", at positions 668 to 1060 of the family's 1533-position model. Lineage: Bacteria; Pseudomonadati; Pseudomonadota. The record is from RNAcentral.